This is a long non-coding RNA of Pseudophryne corroboree (corroboree frog), 183 nucleotides long. RefSeq lists it as uncharacterized. The record is from RefSeq and is a predicted model, not a curated record. The transcript is spliced from 2 exons. NCBI's taxonomy places the organism in Eukaryota, Metazoa, Chordata, Amphibia, Anura, Myobatrachidae.
GAGGUGCGAGCAUCCCGGCCGUCAGCUUGAGGGAGGAGGGGAUCUCUCCGCGCGCGAUGGAUGCAGCCGAUGGCGGAUCUACUGAGCCUGGAGCUGGACAGAUACCAUCAUUUGCACCUGGGCAGAAGUGAAUCCUGGGCAGUUCCUUUCUACAUCUGAACUACAACUUCGCUAGUCAGUCAG